UCUAUGGUUCAGUCAAUCUUA
RNAcentral lists this non-coding RNA (21 nucleotides) under Caenorhabditis elegans. Lineage: Eukaryota; Metazoa; Nematoda; Chromadorea; Rhabditida; Rhabditidae. The record is from RNAcentral.